GUGAUGAAGGCUUUCGGGUCGUAAAACUCUGUUGUUAGGGAAGAACAAGUGCUAGUUGAAUAAGCUGGCACCUUGACGGUACCUAACCAGAAAGCCACGGCUAACUACGUGCCAGCAGCCGCGGUAAUACGUAGGUGGCAAGCGUUAUCCGGAAUUAUUGGGCGUAAAGCGCGCGCAGGUGGUUUCUUAAGUCUGAUGUGAAAGCCCACGGCUCAACCGUGGAGGGUCAUUGGAAACUGGGAGACUUGAGUGCAGAAGAGGAAAGUGGAAUUCCAUGUGUAGCGGUGAAAUGCGUAGAGAUAUGGAGGAACACCAGUGGCGAAGGCGACUUUCUGGUCUGUAACUGACACUGAGGCGCGAAAGCGUGGGGAGCAAACAGGAUUAGAUACCCUGGUAGUCCACGCCGUAAACGAUGAGUGCUAAGUGUUAGAGGGUUUCCGCCCUUUAGUGCUGAAGUUAACGCAUUAAGCACUCCGCCUGGGGAGUACGGCCGCAAGGCUGAAACUCAAAGAAAAWUU
RNAcentral lists this ribosomal RNA (518 nucleotides) under Bacillus sp. KU2(2015). RNAcentral's name for it is "bacterial SSU rRNA". It matches the Rfam family "Bacterial small subunit ribosomal RNA", at positions 405 to 913 of the family's 1533-position model. The record is from RNAcentral. Lineage: Bacteria; Bacillati; Bacillota; Bacilli; Caryophanales; Bacillaceae.